AGCGAACGCCGGCGGCAGGCCUAACACAUGCAAGUCGAACGAACUCUUCGGAGUUAGUGGCGGACGGGUGAGUAACACGUGGGAACGUGCCUUUAGGUUCGGAAUAACUCAGGGAAACUUGUGCUAAUACCGAAUGUGCCCUUCGGGGGAAAGAUUUAUCGCCUUUAGAGCGGCCCGCGUCUGAUUAGCUAGUUGGUGAGGUAAAGGCUCACCAAGGCGACGAUCAGUAGCUGGUCUGAGAGGAUGAUCAGCCACAUUGGGACUGAGACACGGCCCAAACUCCUACGGGAGGCAGCAGUGGGGAAUCUUGCGCAAUGGGCGAAAGCCUGACGCAGCCAUGCCGCGUGAAUGAUGAAGGUCUUAGGAUUGUAAAAUUCUUUCACCGGGGACGAUGAUGACGGUACCCGGAGAAGAAGCCCCGGCUAACUUCGUG
RNAcentral lists this ribosomal RNA (433 nucleotides) under uncultured bacterium. RNAcentral describes it as "partial 16S ribosomal RNA". It matches the Rfam family "Bacterial small subunit ribosomal RNA", at positions 29 to 507 of the family's 1533-position model. The record is from RNAcentral.